GAUGAAGAACGUAGCGAAAUGCGAUAAGUAGUGUGAAUUGCAGAAUUCAGUGAAUCAUCGAAUCUUUGAACGCACAUUGCGCCCCUUGGUAUCCCGAGGGGCAUGCCUGUUCGAGCGUCAUUUCACCACUCAAGCCUGGCUUGGUGUUGGGCGACGUCCUCUUUGGGGACGCGCCUCGAAACGCUCGGCGGCGUGGCACCGGCUUUAAGCGUAGCAGAAUCUUUCGCUUUGUAAGUCGGGGCCCCGUCUGCCGGAAGACCUGCUCGCAAGGUUGACCUCGGAUCAGGCAGGGAUACCCGCUGAACUUAAGCAUAUCAAUAAGCGGAGGA
This 329-nucleotide unclassified non-coding RNA is filed under the name soil metagenome. RNAcentral's name for it is "partial contains 5.8S ribosomal RNA, internal transcribed spacer 2, and large subunit ribosomal RNA". The stretch from base 1 to 120 matches the Rfam family "5.8S ribosomal RNA", at positions 35 to 154 of the family's 154-position model. The record is from RNAcentral.